CGCCUGUUUAUCAAAAACAUGUCCUUUUGAGUUUGAUUUAAGGUCUGACCUGCCCACUGAGAAAUUAAAUGGCCGCGGUAAUUUGACCGUGCAAAGGUAGCAUAAUAAUUAGUUUUUUAAUUGAAAGCUUGCAUGAACGGUUGGAUGAGAAAAUAACUGUCUCUUGCUAAAUUAAUAUAUAACUUUAUUUUUAAGUAAAAAAGCUUAAAUGUAAUUAAAAGACGAGAAGACCCUGUAGAGUUUUAUAUUUUUUUUUGUUAUUUCUAUAUAGUAUCCAUUCUUUUAACGGGAAUAUUUAUUUGGUUGGGGCGAUCGAAAAAUUUAAUAAACUUUUUCCUAAGCAGAACACUUAUUUGUGUAUAUAUGAUCCAGAUUUUCUGAUUAUUAGAUCAAAUUACCUUAGGGAUAACAGCGUAA
RNAcentral lists this ribosomal RNA (417 nucleotides) under Rhaphipodus fruhstorferi. RNAcentral's name for it is "partial 16S ribosomal RNA". The stretch from base 1 to 208 matches the Rfam family "Archaeal large subunit ribosomal RNA", at positions 1889 to 2143 of the family's 2987-position model. The record is from RNAcentral. Lineage: Eukaryota; Metazoa; Arthropoda; Insecta; Coleoptera; Cerambycidae.